This 72-nucleotide transfer RNA is filed under the name Camelus bactrianus (Bactrian camel). It matches the Rfam family "tRNA". Rfam says of the family: Transfer RNA (tRNA) molecules are approximately 80 nucleotides in length. Their secondary structure includes four short double-helical elements and three loops (D, anti-codon, and T loops). Further hydrogen bonds mediate the characteristic L-shaped molecular structure. tRNAs have two regions of fundamental functional importance: the anti-codon, which is responsible for specific mRNA codon recognition, and the 3' end, to which the tRNAs corresponding amino acid is attached (by aminoacyl-tRNA synthetases). tRNAs cope with the degeneracy of the genetic code in two manners: having more than one tRNA (with a specific anti-codon) for a particular amino acid; and 'wobble' base-pairing, i.e. permitting non-standard base-pairing at the 3rd anti-codon position. Lineage: Eukaryota; Metazoa; Chordata; Mammalia; Artiodactyla; Camelidae. The record is from Rfam by way of RNAcentral. RNAcentral also lists the same sequence under 1 other name.
AAGGGGAUGGCUCAGUGGUACAGCAUGUGUUUAGCAUGCCCGAGGUCCUGGGUUCAACUCCCAGUCCCUCCA